AUUGAACGCUGGCGGCAGGCCUAACACAUGCAAGUCGAACGGUAACAGGAAGCAGCUUGCUGAUUUGCUGACGAGUGGCGGACGGGUGAGUAAUGUCUGGGAAACUGCCUGAUGGAGGGGGAUAACUACUGGAAACGGUAGCUAAUACCGCAUAACGUCGCAAGACCAAAGAGGGGGACCUUCGGGCCUCUUGCCAUCGGAUGUGCCCAGAUGGGAUUAGCUAGUAGGUGGGGUAACGGCUCACCUAGGCGACGAUCCCUAGCUGGUCUGAGAGGAUGACCAGCCACACUGGAACUGAGACACGGUCCAGACUCCUACGGGAGGCAGCAGUGGGGAAUAUUGCACAAUGGGCGCAAGCCUGAUGCAGCCAUGCCGCGUGUAUGAAGAAGGCCUUCGGGUUGUAAAGUACUUUCAGCGGGGAGGAAGGGAGUAAAGUUAAUACCUUUGCUCAUUGACGUUACCCGCAGAAGAAGCACCGGCUAACUCCGUG
This 490-nucleotide ribosomal RNA is filed under the name uncultured bacterium. Its description in RNAcentral is "partial 16S ribosomal RNA". It matches the Rfam family "Bacterial small subunit ribosomal RNA", at positions 30 to 507 of the family's 1533-position model. The record is from RNAcentral.